AUGAUCAUAUUAGAUACAGAUACUACAAUUUGCUCAGGCCCACUUCCGACUGACCAAACCAUGGUAUGAUAUAUGACCACGGUCGUACCAACCAUAGUGGUCCUAACAGAUAAUCUAUAGUCACCACAUUACUUAGCCACAGGUGACCCCUACAGAUAGUGCGAUACCACUCUUGUCAGAGGGCACACUGUUAUCCACUAGGAGUGGUUUUCUUACGUCUUUCUAGACCAAAUAGGGGAUGGGGAAACAAAUACCCCGAAGGGCAAGGGGAACAGAUACCCCUCAAAGAUAAAGCCUAAUGAGACACUUGAUGCAAUAUGCAUGUCAAUACAGAUACACUUUGGACCAUACAGGCUUCAUUCCACUUUUUUCUUUUUCUUUAUUUUAUUUUAUUUUUUUAUUAUCACAGGGUACAUAUUACAUUUAUCGCAUGUAAAUUCACCGAGUGUCAGUAAAUCACACAGCAUGCUUGAAAAUCAGACAAUUUGACUCAUUUGAAUACAAAGGCAUCCAAAACAAACAAAAUAACUAUCAUAUUAAAUUUGCUUAUCUAAAAAUACUCCUUAGGACGUCGAAAUUAAUACUAGAUUUCUUACCAAAACCUUGAUAUUUUCUACUCACCGUUUUGCUUUCUUUUUUUUCUUCUCUCAUUAUUUUAAUAUAUCUCUCU
Molecule: long non-coding RNA, 670 nt
Filed under: Carica papaya (papaya)
Lineage: Eukaryota; Viridiplantae; Streptophyta; Magnoliopsida; Brassicales; Caricaceae
Description: long non-coding RNA (CPAP_LNC004076)
Source: RNAcentral